RNAcentral lists this ribosomal RNA (369 nucleotides) under uncultured bacterium. RNAcentral's name for it is "bacterial SSU rRNA". It matches the Rfam family "Bacterial small subunit ribosomal RNA", at positions 527 to 896 of the family's 1533-position model. The record is from RNAcentral.
GUAGGGUGCAAGCAUUAAUCGGAAUUACUGGGCGUAAAGCGUGCGCAGGCGGUUUUGUAAGUCUGACGUGAAAUCCCCGGGCUCAACCUGGGAAUUGCGUUGGAGACUGCAAGGCUAGAAUCUGGCAGAGGGGGGUAGAAUUCCACGUGUAGCAGUGAAAUGCGUAGAGAUGUGGAGGAACACCGAUGGCGAAGGCAGCCCCCUGGGUCAAGAUUGACGCUCAUGCACGAAAGCGUGGGGAGCAAACAGGAUUAGAUACCCUGGUAGUCCACGCCCUAAACGAUGUCUACUAGUUGUCGGGUUUUAAUUAACUUGGUAACGCAGCUAACGCGUGAAGUAGACCGCCUGGGGAGUACGGUCGCAAGAUUA